AGAGGUGUAAGCCCUUAAAACGGCCAGGAACUCUGUCUUCGGGGAGCUCUGUUCUUGAGACGCGAGUCUGCCGAAACUCCCAGGCGAAUAAAGCCAAAUCCUUCCUUAACCUGGUGUCUGAGGGGUUUUGUCCACGGCUCAUCCUGCUACCUUUCUUAGUUCCCUGACCGGGAAAUCGGGUGACUGAUGGACGGUGGAGGCAGCCCCUUAGGCAGUUUAGGCCUGCCCUGUGAAGUAUCCCUGUGGGCGGCUCUGGCCAGCUUGAGUGACGCAGAUCCUGAGAGCGCUCCUGGUUCACCCUUUCUCCCCAGGUGAUCGGGUAUGGAUCACGGAUUGGAACAUAGCCUCCUUGCAGCCACGGUGGAGAGGACCCCAGACCAUCGUCUUGACCACUCCCACAGCCAUAAAGGUAGAAGGAAUCCCAGCCUGGAUUCACCACAGCCAUGUAAAACCUAAAGCAUCUGAGACCUGGGAGGUGAGACCAAGCUUGGACAACCCAUGCAAGAUGACUUUGAAGAAGAUGACAAGCCCUGCUCCAGUCACACCUGGAAGCUGACUGGUCCGUGCAUGGCUGAAGCAUGAGGAAACUCAUCGUGGGACUCAUUUUCCUAAAAUUUUGGACUUGUACAGUAAGGACUUCAACUGACCUUCCUCAGACUGAGGUAGGGCAAAAAGUUAAAACAGACUUUCUGUUUAAAAGGGACUUGUGUGUAUAAUGCUACCCAGUACAAGAUAUGCAGCCCAAGAAGUGACCAGCUUGAUGUGUGCUAUAACCCAUUGGAACUAGUUUAUCCCUGUUGGAAAACAGAGUAUGUAACUCUAGGAAUUGAUGGAACUGGACUGGAAGACCUGGGUAGUGAAGAUGACAGUGAGAACUCCCACUAGUGAGUGAGAUUCUCAAAGGGGGGAAUGAGAAGUGAGGCCAUUUCUCUUACUGUCUCCUGUCUCUGAAGAGGAGGAGGAAGUAAAAGUUGAAAAACAACAGGAAUGAAGUCAUUGGCAAGACCAGCCGGUGCCACUGAUGACCAGGCCUGAGGUUAAAAGAUCAACCCCCCACUCUAACCACAUGUGCUCUCAAUCUAUCAUGACCCUUUCAUGUGGACCCCCUUAGAGUUGUAAGCCCUUAAAAGGGCCAGGAACUCUGUCUUCAGGGAGCUCGGUUCUUGAGACAUGAGUCUGCCAAAGCUCCCAGCUGUUGAGAUGCGAGUCUGCCAAAGCUCCUGGCCGAAUAAAGCCAAAUCCUUCCUUAA
Molecule: long non-coding RNA, 1250 nt
Filed under: Homo sapiens (human)
Lineage: Eukaryota; Metazoa; Chordata; Mammalia; Primates; Hominidae
Description: novel transcript
Source: RNAcentral